GACAGAGGUGCCGAGCGUUAGGCGGAAUUACUGGGCGUAAAGCGUGCGCAGGCGGCUUUGCAAGACAGAUGUGAAAUCCCCGGGCUUAACCUGGGAACUGCAUUUGUGACUGCAUGGCUGGAGUGCGGCAGAGGGGGAUGGAAUUCCGCGUGUAGCAGUGAAAUGCGUAGAUAUGCGGAGGAACACCGAUGGCGAAGGCAAUCCCCUGGGCCUGCACUGACGCUCAUGCAUGAAAGCGUGGGGAGCAAACAGG
This 253-nucleotide ribosomal RNA is filed under the name uncultured bacterium. Its description in RNAcentral is "partial 16S ribosomal RNA". It matches the Rfam family "Bacterial small subunit ribosomal RNA", at positions 524 to 776 of the family's 1533-position model. The record is from RNAcentral.